UUCUAGCCCUGAUUGCAAUGGAAAGCUUUUUCUAAAAAUAAUUUAGUUUUUCUUAUUUUUAAAAAGCGACCAAAGGAAGCUCUUUUAAAAAUUUUAGAAAAACAGAUUAUUUUAGAAAAACUUGUAAUGGAAAGCUGGAUUGGCU
Molecule: small RNA, 145 nt
Organism: Flavobacterium aquatile
Lineage: Bacteria; Pseudomonadati; Bacteroidota; Flavobacteriia; Flavobacteriales; Flavobacteriaceae
Rfam family: Flavo-1 RNA
Source: Rfam